RNAcentral lists this ribosomal RNA (557 nucleotides) under uncultured Chlorophyta. RNAcentral's name for it is "eukaryotic LSU rRNA". The stretch from base 187 to 340 matches the Rfam family "5.8S ribosomal RNA". Lineage: Eukaryota; Viridiplantae; Chlorophyta. The record is from RNAcentral.
GCACCCUGCCUCGCAUUAAGUUGUGUGGUCGGGUGGGUCUGGUCUCGGCCCCUCACAGCCCAUUAAAUUUUGAGCUGUGGGGACUCUGUCGGGACUGGGUUGGUCUUAAUCAACAACCAACACCCAACAAAACUUUAACUAAAGAAACAAUGCAGUCGGCCUGGCCGAUCUGUACUUAACCAAGACAACUCUCAACAACGGAUAUCUUGGCUCUUGCAACGAUGAAGAACGCAGCGAAAUGCGAUACGUAGUGUGAAUUGCAGAAAACCGUGAACCAUCGAAUCUUUGAACGCAUAUUGCGCCCGCGGCUUCGGCCAAGGGCAUGUCUGCCUCAGCGUCGGGUUAAAAAUCGUCCCCACAUUCCCCUUCAUUGGAUGAAUGCUGAUUGGGACGGAUCUGGCUGUCUCAACCCAUUAAUCUGGGUUGGGUUGGCUGAAGUGCAGAGGCUUGAUCAAGGACCCGUCAAGGGCCGCAGCUGGUUAGGCAGUGAUGCUAAACGAUUAGCUGUUGGUCUGGGUCCCGAUUGAGCCCUCAACAAGGAAACUCAUUAACUUUUU